This 22-nucleotide non-coding RNA is filed under the name Arabidopsis thaliana (thale cress). The record is from RNAcentral. Lineage: Eukaryota; Viridiplantae; Streptophyta; Magnoliopsida; Brassicales; Brassicaceae.
UGACUUCGAGGAUGUUACGUGA